CCUACGGGAGGCAGCAGUGAGGAAUAUUGGUCAAUGGGCGCGAGCCUGAACCAGCCAUGUAGCGUGAAGGAUGACUGCCCUACGGGUUGUAAACUUCUUUUAUAAAGGAAUAAAGUGAGGCACUCGUGCCUUUUUGUAUGUACUUUAUGAAUAAGGAUCGGCUAACUCCGUGCCAGCAGCCGCGGUAAUACGGCGGAUCCGAGCGUUAUCCGGAUUUAUUGGGUUUAAAGGGUGCGUAGGCGGCCUGUUCAGUAAGCUGUGAAAGCCUGUGGCUCAACUAUAGAAUUGCCGUUGAUACUGGGAGGCUUGAGUAUAUUUGAGGUAGGCGGAAUGCGUGGUGUAGCGGUGAAAUGCUUAGAUAUCACGCAGAACCCCGAUUGCGAAGGCAGCCUGCCAAGCCAUGACUGACGCUGAUGCACGAAAGCGUGGGGAUCAAACAGGAUUAGAUACCCCUGUAGUC
RNAcentral lists this ribosomal RNA (460 nucleotides) under uncultured bacterium. Its description in RNAcentral is "partial 16S ribosomal RNA". It matches the Rfam family "Bacterial small subunit ribosomal RNA", at positions 338 to 795 of the family's 1533-position model. The record is from RNAcentral.